AGCUACAUUGUCUGCUGGGUUU
This 22-nucleotide non-coding RNA is filed under the name Ictalurus punctatus (channel catfish). Its record names the gene ipu-miR-221. Lineage: Eukaryota; Metazoa; Chordata; Actinopteri; Siluriformes; Ictaluridae. The record is from miRBase by way of RNAcentral. RNAcentral also lists the same sequence under 19 other names.